CGUUGCUUGGGUUUCCAGCACUUUGGGGAUGUUUUCCAUCUCUGUUUAUCCAGAAUCUUAAUAAAUGUUGAUUUUGCAAAGAGCUGCAACAGGAAACCUGCUUCGUUUUACAGUUGGUUCUCACUCAGAGGUCACCAGUACAGCUGCUUCUUCAGCUGGAAGUGUUUGAACGAUCGUAAACAGCAAAAUUCAAUUAUGUAUGGCUGGCCAAAUCCCUUUAUGUAGCCCAGACCCAAAGAUGACGACGAAAACAUGUAAAGAAACUACAGACACCUGUUCCUGCCUCGAAUGGUGUAAAAGGUAACGAAGUUAACGGUCGUAGAAAUAAGCGAAACGCUCGCAUUACCAUAAACAAACAGGGCCGUCCCUUCCCGCAGCGAGUCUUAAAAUCUUACCACCUCUCAUUAUAGAAAGGUUACCCCUUUUUAUUUGCCUCUUCCACAUUUCUCACUUUCCUCUUACCACGGUGAGGAAAGGAAAGGUGACAGGCUACUACGCUGAAAUAUUUACGUACCUGGUUCACGGUGUACUACUUCGACUGCGCCUGAUGAAUGGUGUUACCCAAGGUAUAUACCUACCUGGCUGGCUGGCUGGCUACUCGCCCCGAAAGGAGCCGUUGUGUAAUUUAAUCUCUCUCUCUCUCUCUCUCUCUCUCUCUCUCUCUCUCUCUCUCUCUCUCUCUCU
This is a long non-coding RNA of Macrobrachium nipponense, 684 nucleotides long. RefSeq lists it as uncharacterized. The transcript has 3 exons. The record is from RefSeq and is a predicted model, not a curated record. Lineage: Eukaryota; Metazoa; Arthropoda; Malacostraca; Decapoda; Palaemonidae.